This 1074-nucleotide unclassified non-coding RNA is filed under the name Rhagoletis pomonella (apple maggot). Its description in RNAcentral is "adrenodoxin-like protein 2, mitochondrial, transcript variant X1". Lineage: Eukaryota; Metazoa; Arthropoda; Insecta; Diptera; Tephritidae. The record is from RNAcentral.
UUGUAACUUUCUUUGUGUGCAGAUGUGUGUUUUUUAUUUCAAUUUACUGCCGUAAUCAUUACGCCUUGCACUUGAUUCGGAAUUAAGGUGAUUGCACUCCCUUUACCGAUGUUGUGUUUCGUUUAUUAAAAAACAGUGUAGGUGCGACAUUGAUUAAAAUAGCCACAAGAGUGCACAGAAGUAUCUUCAUUGUGAUAUUGAACCAGUUAUACGUGUGAGUUCCAAACGUUAACGACGCGACAGUAUGGCUUUUGUCGUAAAUUUAGUCAGGUGCUCCUUGAAAGUAAUUAACCGUAACACAUCAAUAGGGCUAGUAAAAAACCUUAGCAAAUUCGAUUACUGCCAGCGUGUAACCAAUAACAACACGACAGUGUUAACGAAUCAACAGUUCCUACGCACAUUUUCCAUUGGGACACAGCUGCAGCAAGAUGUGAACAUUACGUUUUUGCGCGCCAACGGCCAGAAGAUAGAGACAAAGGGCAAGGUGGGCGACACGUUACUGGAUGUGGUGGUAAAUAAUCAUAUCGAUUUGGAUGGUUUUGGUGCAUGCGAGGGUACUUUGACAUGCUCCACUUGCCAUUUAAUUUUUACAUCUGAGGAUUUCGAAAAACUACCAGAUAAAGCCAGCGAUGAAGAAUUGGAUAUGUUGGAUUUGGCAUACGACCUUACAGAUACUUCACGUCUAGGCUGCCAAAUAACACUAACAAAGGACAUGAAUGGACUGGUUGUUAAAGUACCAGCAACAAUUAAUGAUGCCCGUAGCGCGUAACAGUUGAUCGAAAUAUGAAAAAUACGUAUGGACAUACAAUUUGGACAGUUUGACUUGAAUGUGGAAAUUAUAAUACUGUAGCAUAUCGAUAAAGGCAGAUAAGACGAAAUUUGUCCGGAUGUCGCUUGCAUAAAUGAAUAACAUAAGUAUUUGUGUACACAAAUGUAAAUAAUUGAAAUGUACAUAUUAAAUACCCAUCUAUUCAAACUUAGUAGUAGUAGGUUUACAUCUUUACCGAUGAUUGCUAACUAUGCCCGUAAGAACAAAGCAAUGACAGAUUUUAUUAAAAACGUAGCAAAAAUUUA